GAUGAACGCUGGCGGCGUGCCUAAUACAUGCAAGUCGAGCGAACAGACGAGGAGCUUGCUCCUCUGACGUUAGCGGCGGACGGGUGAGUAACACGUGGAUAACCUACCUAUCAGACUGGGAUAACUUCGGGAAACCGGAGCUAAUACCGGAUAAUAUCUUGAACCGCAUGGUUCAAUAGUGAAUGACGGUUUUGCUGUCACUUAUAGAUGGUUCCGCGCCGCAUUAGCUAGUUGGUAAGGUAACGGCUUACCAAGGCAACGAUGCGUAGCCGACCUGAGAGGGUGAUCGGCGACCCUGGAACUGAGACACGGUCCAGGCUCCUACGGGAGGCAGCAGUAGGGAAUCUUCCGCAGUGGGCGAAAGCCUGACGGAGCAACGCCGCGUGAGUGAUGAAGGUCUUCGGAUCGUAAAACUCUGUUAUUAGGGAAGAACAAAUGUGUAAGUAACUAUGCACGUCUUGACGGUACCUAAUCAGAAAGCCACGGCUAACUACGUG
Molecule: ribosomal RNA, 497 nt
Filed under: uncultured bacterium
Lineage: Bacteria
Description: partial 16S ribosomal RNA
Rfam family: Bacterial small subunit ribosomal RNA
Source: RNAcentral